AUUGAACGCUGGCGGCAUGCUUUACACAUGCAAGUCGAACGGUAACAGGCCGCAAGGUGCUGACGAGUGGCGAACGGGUGAGUAAUGCAUCGGAACGUGCCCAGUCGUGGGGGAUAACGCAGCGAAAGCUGCGCUAAUACCGCAUGCGAUCUAUGGAUGAAAGCGGGGGACCGUAAGGCCUCGCGCGAUUGGAGCGGCCGAUGUCAGAGUAGGUAGUUGGUGGGGUAAAGGCUCACCAAGCCAACGAUCUGUAGCUGGUCUGAGAGGACGACCAGCCACACGGGGACGGAGACACGGCCCAGACUCAUACGGGAGGCAGCAGUGGGGAAUUUUGGACAAUGGGCGCAAGCCUGAUCCAGCAAUGCCGCGUGCAGGAAGAAGGCCUUCGGGUUGUAAACUGCUUUUGUACGGAACGAAACGGUCCGGGUUAAUACCCUGGGCUAAUGACGGUGCCGUAAGAAUAAGCACCGGCUAACUACGUGCCAGCAGCCGCGGUAA
RNAcentral lists this ribosomal RNA (498 nucleotides) under uncultured bacterium. RNAcentral's name for it is "partial 16S ribosomal RNA". It matches the Rfam family "Bacterial small subunit ribosomal RNA", at positions 29 to 523 of the family's 1533-position model. The record is from RNAcentral.